This 225-nucleotide ribosomal RNA is filed under the name uncultured Aquimonas sp. Its description in RNAcentral is "partial 16S ribosomal RNA". It matches the Rfam family "Bacterial small subunit ribosomal RNA", at positions 568 to 792 of the family's 1533-position model. Lineage: Bacteria; Pseudomonadati; Pseudomonadota; Gammaproteobacteria; Lysobacterales; Lysobacteraceae. The record is from RNAcentral.
UGCGUAGGCGGUUUGUUAAGUCAGAUGUGAAAGCCCCGGGCUCAACCUGGGAACUGCAUUUGAUACUGGCAGGCUAGAGUGCGGUAGAGGGUGGUGGAAUUCCCGGUGUAGCGGUGAAAUGCGUAGAGAUCGGGAGGAACAUCCGUGGCGAAGGCGGCCACCUGGACAGUGACUGACGCUCAUAUGCGAAAGCGUGGGGAUCAAACAGGAUUAGAUACCCUUGUA